Molecule: ribosomal RNA, 484 nt
Filed under: uncultured bacterium
Lineage: Bacteria
Description: partial 16S ribosomal RNA
Rfam family: Bacterial small subunit ribosomal RNA
Source: RNAcentral
AAUGAACGCUGGCGGCAGGCCUAACACAUGCAAGUCGAGCGGAUGAAGGGAGCUUGUUCCUGGCUUCAGUGGCGGACGGGCGGGUAAUGCACAGGAAUCUGCCUGGUCGUGGGGGCUAACGUCCGGUCGCGGGCGCUAAUCCCGCAUCCGUCCAGAUGUUGAACGUGGGGGUUCUUCGGUCCAAGCGGUUUCUGCUGACCCUAGGCGGGAUUAGCUAGUUGGUGGGGUAAAGGCUUACCAAGGCGACGAUCCGUAACUGGCCUGAGAGGAUGAUCAGUCACACUGGAACUGAGACACGGUCCAGACUCCUACGGGAGGCAGCAGUGGGGAAUAUUGGACAAUGGGCGAAAGCCUGAUCCAGUCAUGCCGCGUGUGUGAUGAAGGUCUUCGGAUUGUAAAGCACUGUUAGUAGGGAAGAAGAGCAGUAAGUGAAUACCUUCCUGUCUUGACGUUACCAACAGAAUAAGCACCGGCUAACUUCGUG